Molecule: ribosomal RNA, 253 nt
Filed under: uncultured bacterium
Lineage: Bacteria
Description: partial 16S ribosomal RNA
Rfam family: Bacterial small subunit ribosomal RNA
Source: RNAcentral
UACGGAGGGUGCAAGCGUUAUCCGGAUUCACUGGGUUUAAAGGGUGCGUAGGUGGGUUGGUAAGUCAGUGGUGAAAUCUCCGAGCUUAACUCCGAAACUGCAUUCGAUACUGCCGUGCUUGAGGACUGGAGAGGAGACUGGAAUUUACGGUGUAGCGGUGAAAUGCGUAGAUAUCGUAAGGAAGACCAGUGGCGAAGGCGGGUCUCUGGACAGUUCCUGACGCUGAGGCACGAAGGCCAGGGGAGCAAACGGG